Mesocricetus auratus (golden hamster) is the source of this 3608-nucleotide long non-coding RNA. RefSeq lists it as uncharacterized. The transcript has 3 exons. The record is from RefSeq and is a predicted model, not a curated record. NCBI's taxonomy places the organism in Eukaryota, Metazoa, Chordata, Mammalia, Rodentia, Cricetidae.
GGGCGCGCUCAGGCCAGGCCCGCCUCCCCUGGUUUUCGCUUUCGCUUUGCAGCUUCUCUGGAGAGAAACAAAGGGGCUGCGACGACUGGAGAUGCGGCAGCGGUGAGGGGAGCGCAGCAGCCUGAACCCCGGGCCCGCAGGCAAGAUGGCAGCAUGUCCUGGGCCUCCUUGUGAGAGCAAGAGACUUGGACAGCUAAGAAAGAAAAAAAUGGACUCCCUCCCCCUGAAGACAUGCUGGAAAGCCAGCCAUGAGUGAGAGAUCCAGCCCAUGAGAGGACCAAUCCCUGCCAGUAGCUACCUGUCAGAUUAGAAUAGAGAUGAACCUCAACCAAGGACCAGGAUGCGAGUGAGCAAGUACUCAGCAUGCAGAGGGCACAUCAACUGCUUGGUUCUUCGUGGACAACCUGUGAGUCUAGCGGCAAACACAAGGUUUUGCAUUUAUGUCAAGAAGACUUUUCACCAAAUCCCUUUCAGGCACAACACUGGGUUGGAAAUCAUAAAGGAGCUGUUAACCACAACCCAGUAAAUGUAUAUUUGAACUCAAAAACAAGACGUCAUGUAUGCAACCCUAGCCUGCUGGGGAUACUGGAAUUAUCCAUCCUUUCCUCUUACUCGCUCCCCAGCUUAUAUUCCCGUCUCAGUCCCAGUUCCAGAGGCUCUGGUUGUCGUUUUCACACACACACACACACACACACACACACACACACACACACACACACACACACACUGCUCCUUAGCAACACUCCAGGGUACAUGAUGACAGACACCUGGUUACUGCCAUCAUCAGUUAAUCUUUUGACAACCAGAGAAUAAACAGUAAGAGAAAAGAGAGAGAGUCCAGAGUCCACAGUGAACCACCAUAUGCCGAGGACUCUGGCUCAACUGCUCUAGACACUGCUACCCACAUCGCCCCCACCCCCUCUCUGUCUCUCAGGUAGUCAGUGUUUCACUGUGGAACAGCUCUGGCUACUGGGACUCCCUCUGUAGACCAGGCUGGCCCCAAACUCACAGAGAGCCACCUGCCUCUGCCUUCCGAGUGCUGGGAUUAAAGGGCAUGCGUCAGCACCUCAUGGCUCUUUCUUUUGCUUAAACUUCCAUUUAUCCAUAAAGGUCCUUUCUCUGCAUUUAUCACAAGCCCAGUGCUGGGAGCCAACUGAUGGGCUGUCCCACCCACCCAUCCCUUGCCUCUGGCUUCUGGUCAGGUUUACUCAAUGGACAGCACUAGCAAGAAAUCAACGAAGAUUACGACAAAGUUAAUAAACCUUGGGGCUGGCUGAGAUUGCUCAGUGGGAAAAGGUGCUUACCACCAAACCCGAGGAACUGAGUGCAGUUCCUAGGAGCUACAUGGUAGAAAGAGAACAGACUCCUACAAGUUGUCUUCUGACUUCCACACGUGCACUAGAGCAUAUGUUUCCCCCAACCCAACAUACACAUAUAAAAAGUUUAACACCCCCUUGGUCUCUACCCAGUUAUUUCAUCCCCCCUUAGAUCCCACAGCUGCUGCCAGGUGCCCUUUCCAGCAGCUGUUACCCCUCCCUUCCCACACGCCAUCAUCAAGCUGCAGGUGCUAACUGCUGCCCACCAUUGCUCGCUGCUAUCGGUUGCUAGCCCCCAGAAACUCCACUCUCCAGGACUGCAGUCAGCCCCUCCCACACUCCUGUAAAUGUGCGCCCCCCCCCACUUGAGUAUGUCCUGCCACAUACACGAGGUAACAGCUCUCUCAGCCCCGUUUGAAGACAUCGAAGCGGAGACUCGGAGAAGCUCAAGAGCCUGUUGAGGGAGUGGGGGCCACACCUCAGGUGAACAGCAGAGUGGAUCUCCAUUCCAGCUGUUGGAGAGUGUGUGUGUUGUCCUUAGGUUAGAUUGCUUCCUUCCCACACGCUACAAUUCACCUCCCCGGACUUUCACCUCCCCGGACUCCGUGUAUCUGUUUACUCCAGCCUUUUGUUUCUCAAUCCGCAACCAUGUUUUUUUAAAGUCUGAGAAUUCUGAGUGCUAAAAGAAGGCUUUCUGGUAAUUGUGAGAAUUGACUGGUAGCUGGCCAAGAUGGAGAAAGGGCCACACCUGUUGCAACAGACUGGCGUGAACUUGACCGCCCCAUGCUUACGGUGCCCUCGCUGUGGUCUGUCCCUUGCCCUGAAGGACACACCCCUGACAUCACAGCCCCUGGGGGCUGAAAUAAAGUUCCCAGUCUGCCAAAGAGGUAAUCUGGGGUUACCUAAUGUUGUUCCCACUUCUCAACACUAGCCCUACACUUUAUUCUCACUAAAAGGCAGAGACACGAUACAGUAUUGUGGUCCUUCAGUGGCUGGCUUUCAUGAUCUAUGGAGACACCCCAAACCAGGACAGUCCUGAAACUGCUGAUUCAGUUUGCAUGAGGAUAUUACUUUUUAUUUUAAGGAACUUUCAAAAUCACCUAAAAUUUAAUUGUAGACGUAGUUUAGCGCUAGAGAAUCCUUGGGUGUGGAGUUUCCCGGCCCUUUUACAUCACUUGAGGUUGGACACUCUGAGGAUGAUGGCCAGGAAGUCGCAGUUGGGCUCCAGGCUACCUAGUAGCCAAAGACCUUUUAAAGCUUGGAACUUGGCUCAAGAGCAGCUGUCUCCUCCCUUGUCUCAGCUCCUCUAGGGGAGACCACAGAAGACUGACCCUUCAAAAAAUCUUUUCAUUGUAAAAUUUUUUUAAAAAAUAAUUUUUAAAUUUUAUUUAUUUAUUUUUUGCUGUACAAUGGAUACUCUUCUUGCCUCCACAGGCACUAGAAUAUAUAUGGCACACAUAUACAUACUGGCAAGACAACCAUAUACAUCAAAAAUCUACCAACUAGUCAGCACUUUAAUUCCAGCACGUGGGAGGCAGAAAUAGGCAGAUCUCUGAGUUCAAGUCCAGCCUAGUCUACAAAUGAACUAUAGGAUGGCCAGGGCUAUAUUAAGAAACUCUAUCUGGAAAAUUAUUAUUAUUAUUAUUUUAAAUGUAUUUGGGAUGUGUACAAAUACUACAUCUGGUGUAUGAAUAUUAGAGGACAACUAGCAGGAGUCUGUCCUUCCACCAUGUGCAGUUUGGGGGUUUGACCCAGGUUGUCAGAUUUAGUGGUGGGUACCUUUACCUGCUGAACCAUUUCAGCCCACAUCCUUUUUUAAUAAAAUUAUUAUUAAUUUUAUUUUAUGUGCAUUGGUGUUUUGCCCGCAUGUAUAUGUGGGUGAGGGUGUCAGAUCCUCUGGAACUGCAGUUACAGACAGUUGUGAGCUGCCAUGUGGGUGCUGGGAAUUGAACCCAGGUCUUCUGGAAGAGCACCCAAUGCUCUUGACCACUGAGCCAUCUCUUCAGCCCCCCUCAUCCUGUUUUUCUAGAUGAGGGUGCAAUGGCCAGCACUCUGGCAGUUACCACAGACAAUAAGAAUGAGAGUUUACGUUAUAUAUAGGGGGAAGGUGAGAUAGACGGAGCCUGUGACCCUAAUAAUGACUUCUGGGACUAGCAUACCAACCCUGGAAAAAUGACAUCUUCCAGCUUGUUUUCCGUUUUACUUUUAUAUUGGAAAGAAAGUUCUGUCUUGUUUAAGCCACUGUUUACUGUUUUAUAUAGCUGAGCCAGGUAUUAAACAACUAUAACGUUC